RNAcentral lists this ribosomal RNA (351 nucleotides) under Sphingobium sp. S27. RNAcentral describes it as "bacterial SSU rRNA". It matches the Rfam family "Bacterial small subunit ribosomal RNA", at positions 113 to 499 of the family's 1533-position model. Lineage: Bacteria; Pseudomonadati; Pseudomonadota; Alphaproteobacteria; Sphingomonadales; Sphingobiaceae. The record is from RNAcentral.
ACGCGUGGGAAUCUGCCNUUGGGUUCGGAAUAACGUCUGGAAACGGACGCUAAUACCGGAUGAUGANGUAAGUCCAAAGAUUUAUCGCCCAGGGAUGAGCCCGCGUAGGAUUAGCUAGUUGGUGAGGUAAAGGCUCACCAAGGCGACGAUCCUUAGCUGGUCUGAGAGGAUGAUCAGCCACACUGGGANUGAGACACGGCCCAGACUCCUACGGGAGGCAGCAGUAGGGAAUAUUGGACAAUGGGCGAAAGCCUGAUCCAGCAAUGCCGCGUGAGUGAUGAAGGCCUUAGGGUUGUAAAGCUCUUUUACCCGGGAUGAUAAUGACAGUACCGGGAGAAUAAGCCCCGGCUA